Molecule: ribosomal RNA, 316 nt
Filed under: uncultured bacterium
Lineage: Bacteria
Description: bacterial SSU rRNA
Rfam family: Bacterial small subunit ribosomal RNA
Source: RNAcentral
UCCUUACGGGAGAAAGCAGGGGACCUUCGGCCCUUGCGCUAUCAGAUGAGCCUAGGUCGGAUUAGCUAGUUGGUGAGGUAAUGGCUCACCAAGGCGACGAUCCGUAACUGGUCUGAGAGGAUGAUCAGUCACACUGGAACUGAGACACGGUCCAGACUCCUACGGGAGGCAGCAGUGGGGAAUAUUGGACAAUGGGCGAAAGCCUGAUCCAGCCAUGCCGCGUGUGUGAAGAAGGUCUUCGGAUUGUAAAGCACUUUAAGUUGGGAGGAAGGGCAGUAAGCUAAUACCUUGCUGUUUUGACGUUACCGACAGAAUA